GUAGUUAAUAGCUGCAUUAUUUGACGUUAGCGACAGAAGAAGCACCGGCUAACUCCGUGCCAGCAGCCGCGGUAAUACGGAGGGUGCGAGCGUUAAUCGGAAUUACUGGGCGUAAAGCGCAUGCAGGUGGUUUGUUAAGUCAGAUGUGAAAGCCCGGGGCUCAACCUCGGAAUAGCAUUUGAAACUGGCAGACUAGAGUACUGUAGAGGGGGGUAGAAUUUCAGGUGUAGCGGUGAAAUGCGUAGAGAUCUGAAGGAAUACCGGUGGCGAAGGCGGCCCCCUGGACAGAUACUGACACUCAGAUGCGAAAGCGUGGGGAGCAAACAGGAUUAGAUACCCUGGUAGUCCACGCCGUAAACGAUGUCUACUUGGAGGUUGUGGCCUUGAGCCGUGGCUUUCGGAGCUAACGCGUUAAGUAGACCGCCUGGGGAGUACGGUCGCAAGAUUAAAACUCAAAUGAAUUGACGGGGGCCCGCACAAGCGGUGGAGCAUGUGGUUUAAUUCGAUGCAACGCGAAGAACCUUACCUACUCUUGACAUCCAGAGAACUUUCCAGAGAUGGAUUGGUGCCUUCGGGAACUCUGAGACAGGUGCUGCAUGGCUGUCGUCAGCUCGUGUUGUGAAAUGUUGGGUUAAGUCCCGCAACGAGCGCAACCCUUAUCCUUGUUUGCCAGCGAGUAAUGUCGGGAACUCCAGGGAGACUGCCGGUGAUAAACCGGAGGAAGGUGGGGACGACGUCAAGUCAUCAUGGCCCUUACGAGUAGGGCUACACACGUGCUACAAUGGCGCAUACAGAGGGCGGCCAACUUGCGAAAGUGAGCGAAUCCCAAAAAGUGCGUCGUAGUCCGGAUUGGAGUCUGCAACUCGACUCCAUGAAGUCGGAAUCGCUAGUAAUCGUGGAUCAGAAUGCCACGGUGAAUACGUUCCCGGGCCUUGUACACACCGCCCGUCACACCAUGGGAGUGGGCUGCAAAAGAAGUAGGUAGUUUAACCUUCGGGGGG
RNAcentral lists this ribosomal RNA (1001 nucleotides) under Vibrio alginolyticus. RNAcentral describes it as "bacterial SSU rRNA". It matches the Rfam family "Bacterial small subunit ribosomal RNA", at positions 449 to 1449 of the family's 1533-position model. The record is from RNAcentral. Lineage: Bacteria; Pseudomonadati; Pseudomonadota; Gammaproteobacteria; Vibrionales; Vibrionaceae.